AAAGCGUGCGCAGGCGGUUAUAUAAGUCAGUGGUGAAAUCUCCGAGCUCAACUCGGAAACUGCCAUUGAUACUAUUUAUCUUGAAUAUUGUUGAGGUAGGCGGAAUAUGUCAUGUAGCGGUGAAAUGCUUAGAUAUGACAUAGAACACCGAUUGCGAAGGCAGCUUGCUAAACAAUUAUUGACGCUGAGGCACGAAAGCGUGGGGAUCAAACAGGAUUAGAUACCCUUGU
This 230-nucleotide ribosomal RNA is filed under the name uncultured bacterium. RNAcentral describes it as "partial 16S ribosomal RNA". It matches the Rfam family "Bacterial small subunit ribosomal RNA", at positions 562 to 791 of the family's 1533-position model. The record is from RNAcentral.